Molecule: long non-coding RNA, 259 nt
Filed under: Elaeis guineensis (African oil palm)
Lineage: Eukaryota; Viridiplantae; Streptophyta; Magnoliopsida; Arecales; Arecaceae
Description: long non-coding RNA (EGUI_LNC009867)
Source: RNAcentral
ACAUUGAAAUCAAUCAAUAUGAUUCAUAUCAAAAAUUCAAUACAUUCGAUCAUAGAUCAUUUAAUAUUUCAAAAAAAUGAUAAAUUUGGUAAUUCAAACUACAUGCAUCAAAUUCAUAUAUCAUAAAUAAUCUAAUAUAAAAAAAUUAUAAAUUACUGAUAAAUCUAGAAAAAGUAUAACAUUACUUAUCUUGCAAAUGAAACUAAUCAAUUAAUCAAAUUAAUUUUGAGAAUCCCUCUCAGAACUCAUCACCACUGCA